This 465-nucleotide ribosomal RNA is filed under the name uncultured bacterium. Its description in RNAcentral is "partial 16S ribosomal RNA". It matches the Rfam family "Bacterial small subunit ribosomal RNA", at positions 338 to 795 of the family's 1533-position model. The record is from RNAcentral.
CCUACGGGAGGCAGCAGUAGGGAAUCUUCCACAAUGGGCGAAAGCCUGAUGGAGCAACGCCGCGUGGGUGAAGAAGGUCCUCGGAUCGUAAAACCCUGUUGUUAGAGAAGAAAGUGCGUGAGAGUAACUGCUCACGUUUCGACGGUAUCUAACCAGAAAGCCACGGCUAACUACGUGCCAGCCGCCGCGGUAAUACGUAGGUGGCAAGCGUUAUCCGGAUUUAUUGGGAGUAAAGGGAACGCAGGCGGUCUUUUAAGUCUGAUGUGAAAGCCUUCGGCUUAACCGGAGUAGUGCAUUGGAAACUGGGAGACUUGAGUGCAGAAGAGGAGAGUGGAACUCCAGGUGUAGCGGUGAAAUGCGUAGAGAUAUGGAAGAACACCAGGGGCGAAAGCGGCUCUCUGGUCUGUAACUGACGCUGAGGUUCGAAAGCGUGGGUAGCAAACAGGAUUAGAUACCCUGGUAGUC